GACGAACGCUGGCGGCGUGCUUAACACAUGCAAGUCGAACGGACAGGUCCUGCUUUUGUGCGCAGCUCGAGUGGACAACUGGUGAGUAACACGUGAGUUAGCUGCCCUUGACUCUGGGAUAUCUUCAGGACACUGGGGCUAAUACCGGCUAGGAGUUCCUGCUGCAUGGUGGGGGUUGGUAAGUUUCGGCGGUUGGGGAUGGACUCGCGGCGUAUCAGCUUGUUGGUGGGGUAGUGGCUUACCAAGGCCUUGAAGGGUAGCCGGGCUGAGAGGGGGACAGGCCACAUUGGGAUGGGGAUACGGCCCAGACUCCUACGGGAGGCAGCAGUGGGGUAUAUUGCACUAUGGGCUGAAGCAUGGUGCAGCAACGCCGCGUGCGGGAUGACGGCCUGCGGGUUGUAAACCGAUGUCGCCUGUGACGAAACGUGAGUGACGGUAAUGGGUAAAGAAGCACCGGCUAACUACGUG
This 468-nucleotide ribosomal RNA is filed under the name uncultured bacterium. RNAcentral's name for it is "partial 16S ribosomal RNA". It matches the Rfam family "Bacterial small subunit ribosomal RNA", at positions 28 to 507 of the family's 1533-position model. The record is from RNAcentral.